Molecule: transfer RNA, 67 nt
Filed under: Otomys typus helleri
Lineage: Eukaryota; Metazoa; Chordata; Mammalia; Rodentia; Muridae
Description: tRNA-Thr
Source: RNAcentral
GCCCUGAUAGUAUAAAUAUUACUCUGGUCUUGUAAACCAAAAAUGAGGAACUCAUCCUCUCAGGACA